GGGUUGUGAGGUUAAGCGACUAAGCGUACACGGUGGAUGCCCUGGCAGUCAGAGGCGAUGAAGGACGUGCUAAUCUGCGAAAAGCGUCGGUAAGGUGAUAUGAACCGUUAUAACCGGCGAUGUCCGAAUGGGGAAACCCAGUGCAAUUCGUUGCACUAUCGUUAACUGAAUACAUAGGUUAACGAGGCGAACCGGGGGAACUGAAACAUCUAAGUACCCCGAGGAAAAGAAAUCAACCGAGAUUCCCCCAGUAGCGGCGAGCGAACGGGGAGCAGCCCAGAGUCUGAAUCAGCUUGUGUGUUAGUGGAACGGUCUGGAAAGUCCGACGGUACAGGGUGAUAGUCCCGUACACCAAAAUGCACAGGUUGUGAACUCGAAGAGUAGGGCGGGACACGUGGUAUCCUGUCUGAAUAUGGGGGGACCAUCCUCCAAGGCUAAAUACUCCUGACUGACCGAUAGUGAACCAGUACCGUGAGGGAAAGGCGAAAAGAACCCCGGCGAGGGGAGUGAAAAAGAACCUGAAACCGUGUACGUACAAGCAGUGGGAGCACCUUCGGGUGUGACUGCGUACCUUUUGUAUAAUGGGUCAGCGACUUAUAUUCUGUAGCAAGGUUAACCGUAUAGGGGAGCCGCAGGGAAACCGAGUCUUAACUGGGCGUUAAGUUGCAGGGUAUAGACCCGAAACCCGGUGAUCUAGCCAUGGGCAGGUUGAAGGUUGGGUAACACUAACUGGAGGACCGAACCGACUAAUGUUGAAAAAUUAGCGGAUGACUUGUGGCUGGGGGUGAAAGGCCAAUCAAACCGGGAGAUAGCUGGUUCUCCCCGAAAGCUAUUUAGGUAGCGCCUCGUGAACUCAUCUUCGGGGGUAGAGCACUGUUUCGGCUAGGGGGUCAUCCCGACUUACCAACCCGAUGCAAACUACGAAUACCGAAGAAUGUUAUCACGGGAGACACACGGCGGGUGCUAACGUCCGUCGUGAAGAGGGAAACAACCCAGACCGCCAGCUAAGGUCCCAAAGUCAUGGUUAAGUGGGAAACGAUGUGGGAAGGCACAGACAGCCAGGAUGUUGGCUUAGAAGCAGCCAUCAUUUAAAGAAAGCGUAAUAGCUCACUGGUCGAGUCGGCCUGCGCGGAAGAUGUAACGGGGCUAAACCAUGCACCGAAGCUGCGGCAGCGACACUAUGUGUUGUUGGGUAGGGGAGCGUUCUGUAAGCCUGCGAAGGUGACCUGUGAGGGUUGCUGGAGGUAUCAGAAGUGCGAAUGCUGACAUAAGUAACGAUAAAGCGGGUGAAAAGCCCGCUCGCCGGAAGACCAAGGGUUCCUGUCCAACGUUAAUCGGGGCAGGGUGAGUCGACCCCUAAGGCGAGGCCGAAAGGCGUAGUCGAUGGGAAACAGGUUAAUAUUCCUGUACUUGGUGUUACUGCGAAGGGGGGACGGAGAAGGCUAUGUUAGCCGGGCGACGGUUGUCCCGGUUUAAGCAUGUAGGCUGGUUGUCCAGGCAAAUCCGGAUAAUCAAGGCUGAGGUGUGAUGACGAGGCACUACGGUGCUGAAGUAACAAAUGCCCUGCUUCCAGGAAAAGCCUCUAAGCAUCAGGUAACAUCAAAUCGUACCCCAAACCGACACAGGUGGUCAGGUAGAGAAUACCAAGGCGCUUGAGAGAACUCGGGUGAAGGAACUAGGCAAAAUGGUGCCGUAACUUCGGGAGAAGGCACGCUGGUGUGUAGGUGAAGUCCCUGCGGAUGGAGCUGAGACCAGUCGAAGAUACCAGCUGGCUGCAACUGUUUAUUAAAAACACAGCACUGUGCAAACACGAAAGUGGACGUAUACGGUGUGACGCCUGCCCGGUGCCGGAAGGUUAAUUGAUGGGGUUAUCCGUAAGGAGAAGCUCUUGAUCGAAGCCCCGGUAAACGGCGGCCGUAACUAUAACGGUCCUAAGGUAGCGAAAUUCCUUGUCGGGUAAGUUCCGACCUGCACGAAUGGCGUAAUGAUGGCCAGGCUGUCUCCACCCGAGACUCAGUGAAAUUGAACUCGCUGUGAAGAUGCAGUGUACCCGCGGCAAGACGGAAAGACCCCGUGAACCUUUACUAUAGCUUGACACUGAACAUUGAGCCUUGAUGUGUAGGAUAGGUGGGAGGCUUUGAAGCGUGGACGCCAGUCUGCGUGGAGCCAACCUUGAAAUACCACCCUUUAAUGUUUGAUGUUCUAACGUUGGCCCCUUACCGGGGUUGCGGACAGUGUCUGGUGGGUAGUUUGACUGGGGCGGUCUCCUCCCAAAGCGUAACGGAGGAGCACGAAGGUUAGCUAAUCCUGGUCGGACAUCAGGAGGUUAGUGCAAUGGCAUAAGCUAGCUUGACUGCGAGCGUGACGGCGCGAGCAGGUGCGAAAGCAGGUCAUAGUGAUCCGGUGGUUCUGAAUGGAAGGGCCAUCGCUCAACGGAUAAAAGGUACUCCGGGGAUAACAGGCUGAUACCGCCCAAGAGUUCAUAUCGACGGCGGUGUUUGGCACCUCGAUGUCGGCUCAUCACAUCCUGGGGCUGAAGUAGGUCCCAAGGGUAUGGCUGUUCGCCAUUUAAAGUGGUACGCGAGCUGGGUUUAGAACGUCGUGAGACAGUUCGGUCCCUAUCUGCCGUGGGCGCUGGAGAAUUGAGGGGGGCUGCUCCUAGUACGAGAGGACCGGAGUGGACGCAUCACUGGUGUUCGGGUUGUCAUGCCAAUGGCACUGCCCGGUAGCUAAAUGCGGAAGAGAUAAGUGCUGAAAGCAUCUAAGCACGAAACUUGCCCCGAGAUGAGUUCUCCCUGAGACUUUAAGUCUCCUGAAGGAACGUUAAAGACGAUGACGUUGAUAGGCCGGGUGUGUAAGCGCAGCGAUGCGUUGAGCUAACCGGUACUAAUGAACCGUGAGGCUUAACCUUACAACGCCGAAGAUGUUA
This 2929-nucleotide ribosomal RNA is filed under the name Klebsiella pneumoniae. Its description in RNAcentral is "23S ribosomal RNA". It matches the Rfam family "Bacterial large subunit ribosomal RNA". The record is from RNAcentral. Lineage: Bacteria; Pseudomonadati; Pseudomonadota; Gammaproteobacteria; Enterobacterales; Enterobacteriaceae.